UACGUAGGGGGCAAGCGUUGUCCGGAAUUAUUGGGCGGAAAGCGCGCGUAGGCGGUCCGGUAAGUCCGCUGUGAAAGCCGGGGGCUUAACCCUCGGAUGCCGGUGGAUACUGUCGGGCUUGAGUACGGAAGAGGCGAGUGGAAUUCCUGGUGUAGCGGUGAAAUGCGCAGAUAUCAGGAGGAACACCAAUUGCGAAGGCAGCUCGCUGGGACGUUACUGACGCUGAGACGCGAAAGCGUGGGGAGCAAACAGG
RNAcentral lists this ribosomal RNA (253 nucleotides) under uncultured bacterium. Its description in RNAcentral is "partial 16S ribosomal RNA". It matches the Rfam family "Bacterial small subunit ribosomal RNA", at positions 524 to 776 of the family's 1533-position model. The record is from RNAcentral.